Molecule: ribosomal RNA, 253 nt
Filed under: uncultured bacterium
Lineage: Bacteria
Description: partial 16S ribosomal RNA
Rfam family: Bacterial small subunit ribosomal RNA
Source: RNAcentral
UACGGGGGGGGCAAGCGUUGUUCGGAAUUACUGGGCGUAAAGGGCUCGUAGGCGGCCAACUAAGUCAGACGUGAAAUCCCUCGGCUUAACCGGGGAACUGCGUCUGAUACUGGAUGGCUUGAAUCCGGGAGAGGGAUGCGGAAUUCCAGGUGUAGCGGUGAAAUGCGUAGAUAUCUGGAGGAACACCGGUGGCGAAGGCGGCAUCCUGGACCGGCAUUGACGCUGAGGAGCGAAAGCCAGGGGAGCGAACGGG